This 449-nucleotide ribosomal RNA is filed under the name uncultured bacterium. Its description in RNAcentral is "partial 16S ribosomal RNA". It matches the Rfam family "Bacterial small subunit ribosomal RNA", at positions 29 to 523 of the family's 1533-position model. The record is from RNAcentral.
AACGAACGCUGGCGGCAUGCCUAACACAUGCAAGUCGAACGAGACCUUCGGGUCUAGUGGCGCACGGGUGCGUAACGCGUGGGAAUCUACCCUUGGGUUCGGAAUAACAGUUAGAAAUGACUGCUAAUACCGGAUGAUGACGUAAGUCCAAAGAUUUAUCGCCCAAGGAUGAGCCCGCGUAAGAUUAGCUUGUUGGUGGGGUAAUGGCCUACCAAGGCGACGAUCUUUAGCUGGUCUGAGAGGAUGAUCAGCCACACUGGGACUGAGACACGGCCCAGACUCCUACGGGAGGCAGCAGUGGGGAAUAUUGGACAAUGGGCGAAAGCCUGAUCCAGCAAUGCCGCGUGAGUGAUGAAGGCCUUAGGGUUGUGAAGCUCUUUUACCAGGGAUAAUAAUGACAGUACCUGGAGAAUAAGCUCCGGCUAACUCCGUGCCAGCCGCCGCGGUAA